UACGGGGGGGGCAAGCGUUGUUCGGAAUUACUGGGCGUAAAGAGCUCGUAGGCGGCCAACUAAGUCAUACGUGAAAUCCCUCGGCUUAACCGGGGAACUGCGUCUGAUACUGGAUGGCUUGAGUUCGGGAGAGGGAUGCGGAAUUCCAGGUGUAGCGGUGAAAUGCGUAGAUAUCUGGAGGAACACCGGUGGCGAAGGCGGCAUCCUGGACCGAUACUGACGCUGAGGAGCGAAAGCCAGGGGAGCAAACGGG
This 253-nucleotide ribosomal RNA is filed under the name uncultured bacterium. RNAcentral describes it as "partial 16S ribosomal RNA". It matches the Rfam family "Bacterial small subunit ribosomal RNA", at positions 524 to 776 of the family's 1533-position model. The record is from RNAcentral.